RNAcentral lists this long non-coding RNA (648 nucleotides) under Musa acuminata (dwarf banana). Its description in RNAcentral is "long non-coding RNA (MACU_LNC005011)". The record is from RNAcentral. Lineage: Eukaryota; Viridiplantae; Streptophyta; Magnoliopsida; Zingiberales; Musaceae.
CGAAAUGUAUUAUUCACCCAGGAUAGCUUCCCAUGUGUCGAGGAAGGCCUCGAGGAUUACGGGGUGGUGGAGAUGAGAGUUCAGGGAAAGGUAGGAGUGGAGGAGCCUUUCCAUGUCGCUUGCGCUGCUCAUUUGCCGCUCCACGAUCAUCUCCACCAUGGAGCUUCGGAAAUCCAUGUACGGAUCACUGGACUUCUUCACCACAGGGAAUCCGACCUCCAUUUCUGCCUCUGCCUUGUGUUUCUUCUCUGCCGAGGAAAGGGAGGCCAAUGGCCAAAGCUUACCGGUUGCGGUCCCUCUCAAAGGUUGGUUGCUCUUCAUGCUCUUGCUCCCGCUCUUCUUCUUGUUCUUCUUCCUCCUCCCGUUGUUGUUGCAGUAGAACUCGGAGGAGUCGGAAGAAAAGCUCUUCGACGAGAACAGAGUUCCCGACUCUUCCUCUUCCUCGCCGCUGCUGAAGAGACCGAGUUCGCCGUUGCGAUCCAAGGAAGAAGAGCUGCUAAAUCCAUAACCGUUGCUUGACAACAGCUUCCUCGUUGCCUUUCUUCGGCUGCUUCCUCUCCUCCCACAAGCUUUCUUCUUCUUGUCUUCGUCGUGAGAGCGGUAGUAGCGAUUCCUCAUCGGAGAAUCCGGAGGAGCGGGAGGGCACUU